GACGAACGCUGGCGGCGUGCUUUACACAUGCAAGUCGAGCGGAAAGGCCCUUUCGGGGGUACUCGAGCGGCGAACGGGUGAGUAACACGUGGGUAACCUGCCCUUGGCUUUGGGAUAACCUCGAGAAAUCGGGGCUAAUACCGAAUAUGACGCAUGGCCGCAUGGUCUGUGUGUGGAAAGGGUCACUACUUUGUGGUGGUCUGGCUGGGGAUGGGCUCGCGGCCUAUCAGCUUGUUGGUGGGGAGUGGCUUACCAAGGCGAUGACGGGUAGCCGGCCUGAGAGGGCGACCGGCCACACUGGGACUGAGACACGGCCCAGACUCCUACGGGAGGCAGCAGUGGGGAAUAUUGCGCAAUGGGCGAAAGCCUGACGCAGCAACGCCGCGUGAGGGAUGACGGCCUGGU
Molecule: ribosomal RNA, 405 nt
Filed under: uncultured bacterium
Lineage: Bacteria
Description: bacterial SSU rRNA
Rfam family: Bacterial small subunit ribosomal RNA
Source: RNAcentral